GACGAAGGGGGCUAGCGUUGUUCGGAAUUACUGGGCGUAAAGCGCGUGUAGGCGGUUGUUCAAGUCAGGUGUGAAAACCUUGAGCUCAACUCAAGAAAUGCACUUGAUACUGGAUGACUAGAGGACCGGAGAGGAUAGUGGAAUUCCCAGUGUAGUGGUGAAAUACGUAGAGAUUGGGAAGAACACCAGUGGCGAAGGCGGCUAUCUGGACGGUUUCUGACGCUAAGGCGCGAAAGCGUGGGGAGCAAACAGG
This 253-nucleotide ribosomal RNA is filed under the name uncultured bacterium. RNAcentral's name for it is "partial 16S ribosomal RNA". It matches the Rfam family "Bacterial small subunit ribosomal RNA", at positions 524 to 776 of the family's 1533-position model. The record is from RNAcentral.